RNAcentral lists this ribosomal RNA (609 nucleotides) under Triticum aestivum (bread wheat). RNAcentral describes it as "partial small subunit ribosomal RNA". Lineage: Eukaryota; Viridiplantae; Streptophyta; Magnoliopsida; Poales; Poaceae. The record is from RNAcentral.
AUGCACCGCUGUUGUCGAUGGCACAUCAUGAAAAAGGCUCAGGAAAAGGUUGGUUGGCUGCUGUGCCGGAAUCCAGGACUCUCUGAUGAUUUCAACAAGUGUGUUGACUUCAGCUUCACUAUAGACGAGUUUGAGCAGAAUUGGGCUGGGUUAAUGAUGAAGUAUGAGGCUAUGACACACACGCACUUUGAGAAGUUGUACGAAUACAGGUCAACUUGGGUGCCGUGCUACUUCAAACACAGGUACUUCCCCUUCCUCCAGUCUACACAGCGUAGUGAGGGGUUCAACGCCGUCCUCAAAAGAUAUGUGAACCCACACAACUCAAUGCUGAACUUCGUCAAGCAAUAUGAAAAAAUCCAGAACCACAUCCUUGCCAAGGAAGGUUGCAAUGAUUACAGGACAGAACACCUUGAGAUUGAGUUGUGGUCCAACUUCCCAAUAGAGAAGCAAGCUUACAAAACCUAUACUAGAGACCUUUACCGCAAGUUCAAACAAGAGUUUGAGCUGAUUGGACGUUAUAAUGCAUUCCAAGUUGGUGCUGAUGUGUUUGAGCUCAGACCGAACCAGGAAUUUGUUGCGAAAUAUGGUUCUCGAAACUACUUGGUGUAG